This is a long non-coding RNA of Tigriopus californicus, 865 nucleotides long. RefSeq lists it as uncharacterized. The record is from RefSeq and is a predicted model, not a curated record. The transcript is spliced from 2 exons. NCBI's taxonomy places the organism in Eukaryota, Metazoa, Arthropoda, Copepoda, Harpacticoida, Harpacticidae.
GAUUCUAAAUACCAACGGAUCAAAAAAAGAGAAGCAAUACAGAGUAACACCAUAAGAGCCGGAUAAGACUGAUUUCAAGAUGACGAUCUUUUUCCCAUCAACACAAUGGUUUGAGGUUGGAUCUUCCAUCCAACCAUCCAUUCAUCCAUAUUGGAUUGUAUUGGGAAGUGUGCAAGACAUAUCCCGUAUUGGUGGUUCUUCGUAUUUGUGGUAAUCAGACAAAAGAAUGAAUCAACCGUUUCAAGAACCAUUCACUCACUCACCUUCGAUCGGGCUUGGCACUCAUUCUGAUCUCUGAAAGGACAAGACCACUGUUCAGCCAUCACUCAAAUAUGAAAGUCUACUGGCCCCGAACAAUACCGGGUAGGUGUCAAUUGUCACGGUUGACACUCAGUUAGCGUCAUCAGUGAAAGGAUUUGUGAAGCAAAGGAAACCUCCCUGACUUACCUAUUGGUGAGGAAAUAACAAGCCUCGUCAUGUUUGCACUCGGAAUCGCGACAACACGAUCGGUACAAGGAGCCCAUGGUGGAUUUGAUUCGUCGGAGAUCGGGAUUGGUUUGAGAACAAACCUUCUCGCCCAAGCCCUGUUGAAAAUCCUGACUCCCACUUGACAGAAGUGCGCACUAAAAACAACGAUUUACUUGAACAACAAAACCAGGACCCGAAGGAAGGAGAAAGAAGCGAUUGCUCUCAGUCUCUCGUAGAACUCUCUUAUCCGUAUUUUAGCAAUUCUAUCCCAAGGGGUUUUAGCAUUGUAUAGUUACGUGAAAUCCGUAAGGGCAUUGCUGAUCGCUCUCGCAAACCACAACCACACAUUCGUCGCCAAUACAAACGGUGUCUGUGAAAUGCAGUUAUUCUCAAUCUA